GCGGACGGGUGAGGAAUACAUGGGAAUCUACCCUGUCGUGGGGGAUAACGUAGGGAAACUUACGCUAAUACCGCAUACGACCGAGAGGUGAAAACGGCGGACCGCAAGGCGUCGCGCGGCUGGAUGAGCCCAUGUCGUAUUAGCUAGUUGGCGGGGUAAAGGCCCACCAAGGCGACGAUCCGUAGCUGGUCUGAGAGGAUGAUCAGCCACACUGGAACUGAGACACGGUCCAGACUCCUACGGGAGGCAGCAGUGGGGAAUAUUGGACAAUGGGCGCAAGCCUGAUCCAGCAAUGCCGCGUGGGUGAAGAAGGCCUUCGGGUUGUAAAGCCCUUUUGUACGGGAAGAAUCCUGUCGGUUAAUACCCGGCGGGGAUGACGGUACCGUAAGAAUAAGCACCGGCUAACUUCGUGCCAGCAGCCGCGGUAAUACGAAAGGGUGCAAGCGUUAAUCGGGAAUUACUGGGCGUAAAGCGUGCGUAAGCGUGGUGGUUUAGUCAGAUGUGAAAGCCCUGGGCUCAACCUGGGAUGGCAUUUGAAACUGGCUGGCUAGAGUGUGGUAGAGGAUGGCCGAAUUCCCGGUGUAGCGGUGAAAUGCGUAGAGAUCGGGAGGAACAUCCGUGGCGAAGGCGGCCAUCUGGACCAACACUGACGCUGAGGCACGAAAGCGUUGGGAGCAAACAGGAUUAGAUACCCUGGUAGUCCACGCCCUAAACGAUGCGAACUGGAUGUUGGGCUCAACUCGGAGCUCAGAGUCGAAGCUAACGCGUUAAGUUCGCCGCCUGGGGAGUACGGUCGCAAGACUGAAACUCAAAGGAAUUGACGGGGGCCCGCACAAGCGGUGGAGUAUGUGGUUUAAUUCGAUGCAACGCGCAGAACCUUACCUGGUCUUGACAUGUCGCGAACCCUGCAGAGAUGCGGGGGUGCCUUCGGGAACGCGAACACAGGUGCUGCAUGGCUGUCGUCAGCUCGUGUCGUGAGAUGUUGGGUUAAGUCCCGCAACGAGCGCAACCCUUGUCCUUAGUUGCCAGCGAGUAAUGUCGGGAACUCUAAGGAGACUGCCGGUGACAAACCGAAGAAGGUGGGGAUGACGUCAGUCAUCAUGGCCCUUACGACCAGGGCUACACCGUACUACAAUGGUCGGUACAAAGG
Molecule: ribosomal RNA, 1150 nt
Filed under: uncultured Pseudoxanthomonas sp.
Lineage: Bacteria; Pseudomonadati; Pseudomonadota; Gammaproteobacteria; Lysobacterales; Lysobacteraceae
Description: bacterial SSU rRNA
Rfam family: Bacterial small subunit ribosomal RNA
Source: RNAcentral